AUGCACUCGGCACAUGUCUACUGUGUGUUCUCUUGGAUGCGGAAGAGUACAAUCUAAAUCUCUUAAUGAGGAUCCAUUGGAGGGCAAGUUUGGUGCCAGCAACCGCGGUAAUUCCAGCUCCAA
Molecule: non-coding RNA, 123 nt
Filed under: Nelumbo nucifera (sacred lotus)
Lineage: Eukaryota; Viridiplantae; Streptophyta; Magnoliopsida; Proteales; Nelumbonaceae
Description: Eukaryotic small subunit ribosomal RNA
Rfam family: Eukaryotic small subunit ribosomal RNA
Source: Rfam by way of RNAcentral